Molecule: long non-coding RNA, 2612 nt
Filed under: Sorghum bicolor (sorghum)
Lineage: Eukaryota; Viridiplantae; Streptophyta; Magnoliopsida; Poales; Poaceae
Description: long non-coding RNA (SBIC_LNC011492)
Source: RNAcentral
CAGGCGAGGCCCCCGCGAGGAGGAAGAGGACGCCUGGGAGAUGGAGGAGGAUCCCUCGCAUCCUACCUCAUCCUUCCCUGAGAAACAGACCCAUGACAAUGCAGGAGCUUCUCGAGGACUGCUUGGACAUGAGUGAUGAGAUUUACUGCUUCAGAGAGGAGGAUAAGCCCGCUUUCCGCGAGGCCAGGGCGAAAAUGGCCAGGUUCUAUCAGCAUAUGAUCGACGUCGAGAAGAACGGCAACAGACUCACCUUACGACCCCGCGUCCUCUUGGAUACACCGUAUGUUAAACCCCUUCCUUUUACCUUUUUUUGUUCAUGGGUAUGAUCAAAACAUCAACUUGAAUACUUGAUGGAUACCCUGCAAAUCCUACCAACAUGUAGAUGUAGAUCCUAAGUAAUAUGUUGAUCCUACCAACAUGUAGGUCCUACGUAAUAUGUUUAUGCAGUUUUAUUUUAUAUUGAACUCGUUAUUGCAUUACCAGAAACUGAACUAGGUUGGACAGCCAGAAACUGGUAGGGAGAACACGGCUUGAUGUGGCACCAACAGGAUGAAUAAUCCUGGCGGGCUUAUUUGAGUUUUGCUGAUUGUCCAAACCAUCAGAAAUACCAUGUUUGUCUUGAUGUGGCAUCAACAGGAUGAAUAAUCCUGAUGGGCUUAUUUGAGUCUUGCUGAUUGUCCAAACCAUCAGAAAUACCAUGUUUUUUUUUAUUCUGACAGUGAAGUCCUGUAAUAAGAAAUAAUAUUUCAUUAAAACACAUAGAAAUUAAAUUUCAUAACCACCAGUCCACCAGUUCUUAUUGUACACAGCACUGACAUGUACAUAAUACACACUCAUCUUCAGAAUCAAUAUUUCAUUAGAAUAUUCUAUAAACAAUGUAAUAGAUCAAGUUUAGUAUUUCACUCGAACACACAAAACAUCAAGUUCUUGAGUUUGCACGACACUAAAAGUCUAAAACUGCAAAUUUGUAAGAGAUCGUCACAAACUUCUUACUAUUUCAUGUUUGGGAGGCAGUAGCACUUGAGAGUGUCCUGCCACCACUAGGUCAUUGGCGUUAAUAGCACUAAUGUCUUGUUGAGAGAAGCUCCAGCCUAGCUUCUGACCUACAAUUCAAGAGAUGUUUCACAUUCUUAAAAAAAUAACUGAAUUGCAUCGAAAAGGAUGAAUCACACCUAACAGAUUUAUGUCACUACCUCACGAUAUAAAUUGUCAUCCAUCUGAACUAGCUAAUACCCGUGUGUUGCUAUGGGUAAAAAAUUUAUAUCGCGUUGAUAUGUAAUACUCAUCAAUCCAUAUAUACCAAUGCCAAUGCCACAAAUUAUUUACUGUUUAUGAUUAAGAUUUUUACAUACCCUACUAUAUUUUUUAUUCGUAGUGGUGCUUAAAUCGAGAUCCUAGGUUACUUGUCCACCUUGGGCAACAGCAUGGUUAAUGGCAUCAAGGUUGCUUUUGCAUCAGUGGCCACUAGCUGCUGCAUAGUGUUUUCUUAGCAGCUUGUCAUCUUGAUUGCUCUUCUAGCCUUCUUUUUCGGCUGCCUGUUACACAACCUAAGACAAAACCAGCUUGCCGGGCUACUUUAACAUUUUAAUUGACCAAAUUUCUUCCAUUGAUACAAAAAGACAACUGCACAAGAAUGAAAGCAUCUAACGAGAUUCCUAAUAUCUAGUAGAGGAAUAUACUUGUCAACCAAUUUGAAGAUGAAAUUAAAAAACUCCCAUCUUACUAUCUCUGCACUUUUUGUUGACCAAAGUUUAAGUGCAGAGCAAAGUUCAAGAGUUCAAUUGAAGUUCAGUUACCAUGGAGUUGUGAUUGGUACCUGACACCUGGAAAUAGGACAUCUUAAAGGUGGUGUAUAACUGACAAAGCCAGUGAGGCAAAUAAAAAAUUGAAGCUUAACUGAUGUCUACAGAAAUAAAACAAUCUUACAUUCAUGGCUGAUUGCAACACCAACCAUGUAGGUCGACCAAUUUUACAAAAUCAUGUGCAAAACCACACCCAAUUCCGAUUGAAGUGAAAUUGGAAUCACAUCUCCACCUAAGCUUUUGUACACUAUAAACAGAGAAAAACCGAUUGUUGGCACACAUGCUGCUGCAUUCCUGAUUAAAACAAGCAAUUAGCACACAUCACCUUUCCCUAAUGUAGAAUUGCAGAUCGGUAUGUGCUGCUGCUGUGGUGAUUGGCGACCAAGACAUCUUCUAUCAGGGCACUGAGUCCCUAGUUGACCAGGGUGACGAGCAUGGGCGCUGUUCCCUGGUGAUGCGAUAGUAUAUUACAACAGAUUCCUGAAAAAUAACAACAAUUUCCAUUCAAUUCUAGGUUCGCAAAAUGAAAAUCCCUAAAGCCAUUUACUGACAAUGAGAUUUAGGAAUUGGGGGAAAGUAGUGGAAUGGAGAAGAACAAGCACUCACGAGAGGCCUGCUGGAUGGCCACUGGCUGGCUCCACGGCGCCGGUGGACGGGCGCCUUGCGGAGUAGGCGAGGGCGGCCACCGGAGAGGGGGGUGCGGUUGCCGGAUGGCUUGACGCCCAGUGCCCAGUGGCUCGCAGCCUCGUGCGGUGCCAGUGCCGCAGUCGUGCCUCCUGAAGGUCGGGCGCAUCGGGGUCGGGGAAUGGG